UAUUGGCUCCACGAAGUAAACAAGCAGCUUCAUCAUAUGCCCUUGCUGCUUCUUCAGCUGUGUCAAAGGUACCUAACCACACUCUUAUUUUUUGUAUAGUAUCUUUAAUUUCAGCUACCCAUCUACCUGAUGGCCUCUGUCUAACACCCACGAAUCUCUUCCGUGCUCGCCGUGCUCCACCAAGCGCAGCUGCAACAGCAGUUUCCUUUACCAUUUCGUCCCAGGCCACAUUCCCUUGAUCAUUAUCGCGGAUAUUUUCACCAAGUGCCUCACUCGCCCUUCUUUUCCUAGCCAUCGCACGAGCGUUAGUGUUAGUAUAUAUAUAAGUA
Molecule: long non-coding RNA, 329 nt
Filed under: Solanum tuberosum (potato)
Lineage: Eukaryota; Viridiplantae; Streptophyta; Magnoliopsida; Solanales; Solanaceae
Description: long non-coding RNA (STUB_LNC003274)
Source: RNAcentral